UCUAAGGAAGCUGGGAGGAGCAAUUUUCUCAGCAAAACGUCAAAGUCAUUCACGUGGACCUGUAGCUCAGCAGGUUAGAGCGCACGCCUGAUAAGCGUGAGGUCGGUGGUUCGAGUCCACCCAGGUCCACCAAAGAACACUUCGAUCUUUAACAACCACAUAGCAAAAGAUAUUUCCGGCCAAGUGAGAAAGAGCAUCGGGAGGAUGCCUUGGCACAUGGCGCCGAUGAAGGACGCAAGCAAGCGAUAACCACGGGAAGCGGCAAGACGCAUCGAUCC
RNAcentral lists this unclassified non-coding RNA (278 nucleotides) under uncultured Peptoniphilus sp. RNAcentral's name for it is "partial 16S-23S ribosomal RNA intergenic spacer". The stretch from base 56 to 129 matches the Rfam family "tRNA". The record is from RNAcentral. Lineage: Bacteria; Bacillati; Bacillota; Tissierellia; Tissierellales; Peptoniphilaceae.